CGUGGCCCAGUGAUAGCACGCCAGGCCCAAAAGUCAGAGAGUGUCGGUUCAAA
Molecule: transfer RNA, 53 nt
Filed under: Oxyrrhis marina
Lineage: Eukaryota; Dinophyceae; Oxyrrhinales; Oxyrrhinaceae
Description: partial tRNA
Source: RNAcentral